CAAGAGCAUACACUUACAUUGCUGUAGUUAAAACGCUCGUAGUCUAUAGCAGAGUCUGCAAGAGCGGACAUUGUAGAGCAUAAGCAAGGCUGUCUCAGUCUGUUGUCUCCUCUACGGAGAAGACAUGCUACAAUGUAUCGCUCGCGCAGCACCUUAUCGUGAACAAAUCAGAGUGCUUCAAGCAAGUAUUGUCGCUUGAAUUGUAUUAGCAUGAAACAAGGGUUGACUAUUGUCUCGGCAGUAGUCACCACAGUAAUAGGAGGUCGAAGUAGGACCCUAGUAUUGCUAGCGCAGAGGUGAAAUUCCGACAUUCUAGCAAGACUGUCUAAUGCGAAAGCAGACAGUCUCUCACACCUCCUUUGA
RNAcentral lists this ribosomal RNA (363 nucleotides) under uncultured eukaryote. Its description in RNAcentral is "partial 18S ribosomal RNA". It matches the Rfam family "Eukaryotic small subunit ribosomal RNA", at positions 592 to 976 of the family's 1831-position model. The record is from RNAcentral.